AGCAGCCGCGGUAAUUCCAGCUCCAAUAGCGUAUAUUAAAGUUGUUGCAGUUAAAAAGCUCGUAGUUGAAUUUCGGGAUUUAUCCGUCGGUCGGGCUUUUGGGUCUGUACUGGCGUGAUGGAUUCCUACCUUCUGAAUAACCGGCAUGUCAUUAAUUUGGUGCGCCGGGGAAGCAGGACUGUUACCUUGAAAAAAUUAGAGUGCUUAAAGCAGGCUUAUGCCUGAAUACAUUAGCAUGGAAUAAUGAAAUAGGACGGCAUGGUUCUAUUUUGUUGGUUUCUAGGAUCACCGUAAUGAUUAAUAGGGAUAGUUGGGGGCAUUAGUAUUCAAUUGUCAGAGGUGAAAUUCUUGGAUUUAUUGAAGACUAACUUCUGCGAAAGCAUUUGCCAAGGAUGUUUUCAUUAAUCAAGAACGAAAGUUAGGGGAUCGAAGACGAUCAGAUACCGUCGUAGUCUUAACCAUAAACUAUGCCGACUAGGGAUCGGACGAUGUUAAUUUUUUAAUGACUCGUUCGGCGCCUUACG
RNAcentral lists this ribosomal RNA (524 nucleotides) under uncultured Acaulospora. RNAcentral's name for it is "SSU rRNA". It matches the Rfam family "Eukaryotic small subunit ribosomal RNA", at positions 569 to 1092 of the family's 1831-position model. The record is from RNAcentral. Lineage: Eukaryota; Fungi; Glomeromycota; Glomeromycetes; Diversisporales; Acaulosporaceae.